GACGAACGCUGGCGGCGUGCUUAACACAUGCAAGUCGAACGGUAAGGCCCUUCGGGGUACACGAGUGGCGAACGGGUGAGUAACGCGUGAGUAACCUGCCCUUCACUCUGGGAUAACAGUUGGAAACGGCUGCUAAUACCGGAUAUUCAGCUCCUGCCGCAUGGUGGGGGUUGGAAAGUUUUGGUGGUGGAGGAUGGGCUCGCGUCCUAUCAGCUUGUUGGUGGGGUGAUGGCCUACCAAGGCGUCGACGGGUAGCCGGCCUGAGAGGGCGACCGGCCACAUUGGGACUGAGAUACGGCCCAAACUCCUACGGGAGGCAGCAGUGGGGAAUAUUGCACAAUGGGCGGAAGCCUGAUGCAGCAACGCCGCGUGCGGGAUGACGGCCUUCGGGUUGUAAACCGCUUUCAGCAGGGACGAAGCGCAAGUGACGGUACCUGCAGAAGAAGCACCGGCUAACUACGUG
This 463-nucleotide ribosomal RNA is filed under the name uncultured bacterium. Its description in RNAcentral is "partial 16S ribosomal RNA". It matches the Rfam family "Bacterial small subunit ribosomal RNA", at positions 28 to 507 of the family's 1533-position model. The record is from RNAcentral.